AUUGAACGCUGGCGGCAGGCCUAACACAUGCAAGUCGAACGAGUGGCGGACGGGUGAGUAAUGUCUGGGAAACUGCCCGAUGGAGGGGGAUAACUACUGGAAACGGUAGCUAAUACCGCAUACCAUCGGAUGUGCCCAAGUGGGAUUAGCUAGUAGGUGGGGUAACGGCUCACCAAGGCGACGAUCCCUAGCUGGUCUGAGAGGAUGACCAGCCACACUGGGACUGAGACACGGUCCAGACUCCUACGGGAGGCAGCAGUAGGGAAUAUUGGGCAAUGGACGAAAGUCUGACCGAGCCAUGCCGCGUGAGUGAAGAAGGUUUUCGGAUCGUAAAGUUCUUUUGUUAGAGAAGCGGUAUCUACCCAGAAAGCCACGGCUAACUACGUGCCAGCAGCCGCGGUAAUAC
This 406-nucleotide ribosomal RNA is filed under the name uncultured bacterium. RNAcentral describes it as "partial 16S ribosomal RNA". It matches the Rfam family "Bacterial small subunit ribosomal RNA", at positions 30 to 526 of the family's 1533-position model. The record is from RNAcentral.